Non-coding RNA from Necator americanus (New World hookworm), 144 nucleotides. Lineage: Eukaryota; Metazoa; Nematoda; Chromadorea; Rhabditida; Ancylostomatidae. The record is from Rfam.
AUCGCUUCUCGGCCUUUUGGCUAAGAUCAAAGUUUAGUUUCUGUUCUUAUCGAAUUAACCUUCGAUAGAGAUUCGAAUGAGUCUCGUUAAGGUUAUUUGUAUUUUUGGAACCGGACGGGGUCGUGGGCUUGCUCGCACCUCGUC